RNAcentral lists this unclassified non-coding RNA (2053 nucleotides) under Haliotis rufescens (red abalone). RNAcentral's name for it is "thialysine N-epsilon-acetyltransferase-like, transcript variant X1". Lineage: Eukaryota; Metazoa; Mollusca; Gastropoda; Lepetellida; Haliotidae. The record is from RNAcentral.
AGGCCUGUACAUUACUCUACUUGCUCACCAAAAGCCACGGAGUUGUUUUCUUUUUGCGUCGUCUAACUGUGUGUACAUAGACUGCCACUCCACGCGACCUGGUAGGUCACUUAUCCCUGUGUUGACCCAGAUUUCUAGACUCAGUAUAAUGGCGGACUAUAUUAUCAGAGAUGCCCGAGUUGAAGAUUGUGGCGAGAUAUUCCUAAUGUUAAAGGAACUCCAAGAACAUCUCAAGUUCCUGGACCACAUGACGCUGGAGGAGGAGGCUGUGAAGAACGAUGGCUUCGGUGAAGACAAAUUCUUUCAAUGUAUCGUGGCCGAAGAGAAACCGUCGGGAGAAGCUGAGCCAGCACUGGUAGGGUACUUGUUGUACUGCUGGUCGUACACCACCUCCGCAGGCCGAAUGAUGGUUGUACAGGAUUUUUAUGUUCGUCAAACCUACAGGUCGCAAGGGACGGGCUCGGCACUGUGGGCCCAUGCCACCAAGGUUGCCCUAGAGAAGGGAUGCAGGAAAGUAGAGUGGAUAGUCCACGAUUGGAACGUAAAGGCAAUAAAGUUCUACAAGAAGUUGGGAGGUGUGGAUAUGUCUAAGGGCGAAGGUUGGCUGGUGUACAGGCUUGAUGUUAAUGCCAUGAGAUCUGUAGUAGCCACAGACACAGUAAACAAACAGUAACGUGCAGACAGAACACCCCCUUCAGGAAUUCCGUGUUCAGUCAUGUGUGGAGUGACGAAUGUACCUUACACACAUCGUUCACAGUGUGUUGAACAGGUUCAUGUGUGGUGUUACUCUUCGUAUAGACGUGUUGGGGGAGCACAUUAGACAGUACAUCAGUAAGCGUUAAAUUAAUGCAACAAUGAUUUGUAAAUAUAUGUAGAGGCUGGAUAUUUUGCCCCAGUUCUGAAUACCUGGCUUUUUACAAAUUGUAAAAUAGGGGGCUCAAGGUACGGAUUCUAUGGAUUCCACAGUAACAGCUUUUAGCCAAUCACCUGGGGCCAUGUGGUCACAUGACAAGGACAUGUUUACAUCCGGUGCAGCCAUUUUGUAAUGCAACCGGAAGAGUGCUGAAGAGUGCUGAGGAUAGCUGAACAUAACCAAAAGAUAAGAUGUGCAUCCCAGUGCAGAGGUCAAGAGUCGCCAGUGGGUGGGUUUGCCACUAAAUACUUUCAGAUUGUACCAGGGUGCAUUGAUUGAGCACAUGGUUUAGAAACAAAGACAAUGAUACUGCCACGUUUGAAGUUAGAGUGAAAUGGCAACAGAAUUUUGUUGUAAACAGCAACAACAAUUUGAAAUAAGUGGAACUUUGAAUUCAGCAGAUGUACUUUCAAACACAAAGUUUACUUUGUUGAAGUUGAUGUAAAACAAGACAAUAGAUAAAUCCCAUUUAUUCUUGCCAUUGUGUGCACUUUUGGACAGACGCAGAUGAGUGACAUUUGUCAGUUUGGCACAGCAAGAAUGGCUGACCACAGUGACCAAACACUUGUUAAUGAAAUCACAAGUCUUACUCAUGCUAACGAAAUACAUAUGCAUUGGAAUUACCUACAAUUGCAUUCUAUAGGCCUAGUUGCAGUCUGGGUGAACUGGUGCUCUUACCUAAAACAAAAUCCACAUACAAGGAUGGAGAUGUAAUGCCAAGGCAGAGCAUACAGAAAUUGGCUGCUGAAACAUUUAGAGGUUCCAUGGUGGCCCUGGCCCAUGUCAUGUGACCAUAUACCCCCAUGCUAUUGGCUAAAAGCUGUUGCUAUGGAACCUAUGAGAGCAGUAAAGUAGUCAAGGUGCGGGAUGGUCCAGUUACUCUGGACAGGGAACUGGGGAACAAUAUCCAGCCUUUACACUUAGAAGCAGAGUUCAUUAUACGACUAACCUACCUUCAUACUGAGGAUAGUAAAUUACUAUCAGUUCAAUUCAAUCCAAUUCAAUUCAAUUCAAUUUAGUGGUUUAUUGCUUGAAAGUCCACUGGCCCAUUUACACAUGAGCUACAUGGACAUGAAUAUCAAUACAACAACUGACGUAACAUGAAUGUAUGAUGACUGUAUAAAGAUACUUGCUAUUGAA